RNAcentral lists this long non-coding RNA (1648 nucleotides) under Numida meleagris (helmeted guineafowl). RNAcentral describes it as "lncRNA (ENSNMEG00000013851.1)". Lineage: Eukaryota; Metazoa; Chordata; Aves; Galliformes; Numididae. The record is from RNAcentral.
CACAGAGCAAAGGAGGAGCUUGGAAUAAACCAGCAUAUAACUCCUGGUCCCUCUUGGUUGGCAUUCUUUCCUACUCCUAUGCUUGAGCUUAAUGACUGUACAGCACUGUAAAUACCAGCCAGUCCUUCAGCACAGAAGGACAGGGUUUGCUUUAGUGCUAUUUUUAGUUAAGCAGAUCCCACUUCUAAAUCUGCAAUGCCUCCAUUUUCAAUAUCGUGAUUAUGUUUGAUGUUCCACAGGAAGACGAGGGAACUAGGGUGAAUCAGAAAGCACAAUGCAGAGUAGGCAAUACCAUGCUGCCUUCUGAAACACCAGCCCAGAGAGAGCAGAAGCCUUGGUGGGGGCUUUGCACAGGGAGGAGCCAUCAAGCAGCUGGACGUGUCAGCUGGGCACCUCAUCAGGCAGCUGCUGCAAGUGGAAGCUUUCAGUUACGGGGGACAGACAGCAGCUGGAGGGACCACGUCUGAGCUGUGGUCAUUUCAGAGGUACUGACAGACAGACAGAAGAUACCAGAGCUGCCACGCAAGGAGAGAGACUGCCACAAAAGGAAGCAAGAAAAUAGUCCACAUGUGUAUCGAAUGCAGUGAGCAUAAACCAAGACGAGAUCUGUCCUUUCUGUUCUGUCUUUCAGUCAAAGAGAUAGAAGUGGCUUUGGAGAGAAACUAUCCAAGAAUAAGUGAGAAAGAGACAUGAGACAGGGAAUAUUGUCCUCAUGACCCAGCGACUGACUGAAUUUUUGUUUGCCCUCGGAGCAGCACGCCUUUCAGUCUGCCUGUACUGGAGCAGGCACAAAUAGUAUUGAUCAGCAAAGGUGGCUGACAUGAGGAAGCACCACUAUAAAGGCCAGUACAGUAGGAUUUCAGCAUAGUACAUCUAAAUGAAAGGAAAACUUGAGGAGAACAUAUACAGCUCUUGCAGUGACUUACAUCAGCUAAGUGGCCAAAGAGAGAGAUCUUCAUCUCCAAAAGUAUACCCCUGUCCAGGGAGACCUCUGUCAAAUGAAGAAUCAAAACUUAUGGAAUCAGAAGUGUUAAGAGAUGUAGUUACACUCUCUACAAAGUCAUUGGUUGCUGCAAUAUCCACCAAGAUCUUUUAGAUUUGUCCCAGACUGAAAUUGUUCCCUCCCUGUACAGACAAGGAUAGGAGUGGAGAUUAACAAAUUAGCAGAUUCCCAUGAUGAAGAUAAGGAUGACAAUUACAGAAAACCCAAGAAAAAAUUAUAGUCAAGCCAAUGUUCAGCAUGGGGGAAUUGAAAUAUGAAACAGCAGUAGCAGAAGGAGACAGCACAGAAGCAAACACUUCAGGUGGGAGGGAUGGACUUAAACACAGCAAAGCAACAAUAUACUUAAUUCAGUGGGAAAAAUAACAAUGAAAAGCAGCCGUUACUCCAACAGAGUCUGUGAAUGAAUUGCAUUGUUUCAGAUGAGAGACUAUGCCAAGAUACUUCCAAGCAGGUCACCCAAUCUACGCAUACUGAAGCCAGGCUUCACAGUGUUCAGAUGGGAAAUGAUGCACUGGUGGUAGAGAAGUGAAAAAGAGUAUUCUGCUAGAUACGGUAGAAAGGAGUUGGGUUUCGGGACAGCAGCUUAGGAUUUUUGAUUCUGGCCUGUGGGAUGAAAUAAACUGGGCUCAACUACUGUUGCCUACA